CAGUAUAGCUGCUCGAUGUCGAACGGUAUUAGCAGAAUACAAUAUGUCUUGUGAUGAUACAGGAAAACUAAUUUUGAAACCUAGGCCUCAUGUUCAAUGACAAUCUUCACUCAUUGUUAUGGGACUUAAAAUAGCCUUUCUUCGAAUAAGUGAUACAGCAAAAAGCCAUAAAGGAUUCCUUUUGCGGUUGGAUAUGUAAAGGUCAUAGCAGCAACUGACAAGAAGUGUGCAAUAUUUACCUGGAUUAUCUUGAUGAUGGUGACUCAUUAUCAGUGCUUUGGUACUUUUGAUUACCUGUGUUUCAGUAUUAGUGUCACUUUAGUACUUCAGAUCCUGCAAAGAUUUUUGCAGAUGAAGUAUGUAUGUAUGUUACUAAGUUAAACUUAGAAACAGAACCUCAUUCAGUUUUUAUAAUGUAUUUUUGCAAACUACUGUAAAUAGCAAAUCAAUGCCAAUGUUAAACAAAGAGGAAAACGUUGUGUGGACUUUGUUCUCUUGCACCGGUAUUUCAGGAACAUCUGCUUGCCAUCCCCACAGCUCUUUAAAACUGGCUAUUAUGUGUGCCUUUCAUUCUUCCAUUUCUAAUCAUACUGCAGGAAAAACAUUGGAUUCAGCUUAGACUGAGGAAAACUCUCCAUUAUGUUGUAAGAAAUUAUAGAUGUUUUGAGAGACACUUUUUGUUAAACCAGAUAUUG
RNAcentral lists this long non-coding RNA (695 nucleotides) under Pan troglodytes (chimpanzee). RNAcentral describes it as "long non-coding RNA NONPTRT006033". The record is from RNAcentral. Lineage: Eukaryota; Metazoa; Chordata; Mammalia; Primates; Hominidae.